Molecule: small nucleolar RNA, 56 nt
Filed under: uncultured Thermococcus sp.
Lineage: Archaea; Methanobacteriati; Methanobacteriota; Thermococci; Thermococcales; Thermococcaceae
Description: Small nucleolar RNA sR55
Rfam family: Small nucleolar RNA sR55
Source: RNAcentral
ACCGAUGAUGAGUGUCAUCCCUCCUGAACGGAUGAGGAGAUUAUCCCCACCUGAGG